RNAcentral lists this ribosomal RNA (529 nucleotides) under actinobacterium MS-M-58. Its description in RNAcentral is "bacterial SSU rRNA". It matches the Rfam family "Bacterial small subunit ribosomal RNA", at positions 116 to 659 of the family's 1533-position model. The record is from RNAcentral. Lineage: Bacteria; Bacillati; Actinomycetota; Actinomycetes.
CGUGAGCAAUCUGCCCCCGACUCUGGGAUAACCCCGAGAAAUCGGAGCUAAUACCGGAUACGACACCUCCUGGCAUCAGGUGGGUGUGGAAAGAAUUUCGGUUGGGGAUGAGCUCGCGGCCUAUCAGCUUGUUGGUGAGGUAAUGGCUCACCAAGGCGACGACGGGUAGCCGGCCUGAGAGGGUGACCGGCCACACUGGGACUGAGACACGGCCCAGACUCCUACGGGAGGCAGCAGUGGGGAAUAUUGCACAAUGGGCGCAAGCCUGAUGCAGCAACGCCGCGUGGGGGACGACGGCCUUCGGGUUGUAAACCUCUUUUGGCAGGGAAGAAGCGAAAGUGACGGUACCUGCAGAAAAAGCACCGGCUAACUACGUGCCAGCAGCCGCGGUAAUACGUAGGGUGCAAGCGUUGUCCGGAAUUAUUGGGCGUAAAGAGCUCGUAGGCGGUGUGUCACGUCUGCUGUGAAAAUCCAAGGCUCAACCUUGGACUUGCAGUGGGUACGGGCACACUCGAGUGCGGUAGGGGAG